GAGAGAGGCUCGCUAGCAAUAAAGACUGCUAAUCUUCUAUCCCUUUGGUUAAACUCCAAAGCUCACUCG
This 69-nucleotide transfer RNA is filed under the name Macropodus opercularis (paradise fish). Its description in RNAcentral is "tRNA-Ser". RNAcentral also lists the same sequence under 1 other name. Lineage: Eukaryota; Metazoa; Chordata; Actinopteri; Anabantiformes; Osphronemidae. The record is from RNAcentral.